This 264-nucleotide ribosomal RNA is filed under the name uncultured bacterium. RNAcentral's name for it is "partial 16S ribosomal RNA". It matches the Rfam family "Bacterial small subunit ribosomal RNA", at positions 793 to 1055 of the family's 1533-position model. The record is from RNAcentral.
GUCCACGCCGUAAACGAUGGGCACUAGAUGCCGGUGGGAACGACCCCAUCGGUGUCGAAGCUAACGCAUUAAGUGCCCCGCCUGGGGAGUACGGCCGCAAGGCUGAAACUCAAAGGAAUUGACGGGGCCCGCACAAGCGGUGGAGCAUGUGGUUUAAUUCGACGCAACGCGAAGAACCUUACCUGGGCUUGACAUGCUGGUGAAAGAUCAUGGAAACAUGGUCCUUCCUUCGGGACUCCAGUACAGGUGCUGCAUGGCUGUCGU